Molecule: ribosomal RNA, 468 nt
Filed under: uncultured bacterium
Lineage: Bacteria
Description: partial 16S ribosomal RNA
Rfam family: Bacterial small subunit ribosomal RNA
Source: RNAcentral
GGCGAACGCUGGCGGCGUGCUUAACACAUGCAAGUCGAACGGCAAGGCACUGGUUUUGGGGGGUGCGCGAGUGGCGAACGGGUGGGUAACAAGUGAGUAACCUGCCCUUGACUUUGGGAUAACUUCAGGAAACUAGGGCUAAUACUGGAUAGGAGCUCCUGCUGCAUGGAGGGGGUUGGAAAGGUUCGGCGGGUGGGGAUGGACGCGGGGCUUAUCAGCUUGUUGGUGGGGUAGUGGCUUACGAAGGCUUUGACGGGUAGACGGCCUGAGAGGGUGACCGGCGACAUUGGGACUGAGAGACGCACCAGACUGCUACGGUAGGCAGUAGUGGGGAAUAUUGCACAAUGGGCGGAAGCCUGAUGCAGCAACGCCGCGUGCGGGAUGAAGGCCUGCUGGUUGAAAACCGCUUUCGCCUAUUACGAAGCGUUAGUGACGGUAAUCGGUAAAGAAGCACCGGCUAACUACGUG